RNAcentral lists this transfer RNA (69 nucleotides) under Marmota monax (woodchuck). It matches the Rfam family "tRNA". From Rfam's summary of the family: Transfer RNA (tRNA) molecules are approximately 80 nucleotides in length. Their secondary structure includes four short double-helical elements and three loops (D, anti-codon, and T loops). RNAcentral also lists the same sequence under 2 other names. Lineage: Eukaryota; Metazoa; Chordata; Mammalia; Rodentia; Sciuridae. The record is from Rfam by way of RNAcentral.
GGGGUUGUGGCUCAGUGGUAGAGUGCUCACCUACUACGUGUAAGGCCCUGGGUUCGAUCCUCAGUACCA